RNAcentral lists this ribosomal RNA (411 nucleotides) under Triticum aestivum (bread wheat). RNAcentral's name for it is "partial small subunit ribosomal RNA". Lineage: Eukaryota; Viridiplantae; Streptophyta; Magnoliopsida; Poales; Poaceae. The record is from RNAcentral.
AUGGAUCACAACCGGGAGGUGCUCCGUUGGAACGUGCGGGGACUCAACAAUCCCGCAAAAAGGAAGGCGGUUAGGGCAUUCGUGGAGGCGGUGAAAGUCAACUUGGUGUGUUUCCAAGAUACAAAACUUCAUGUAAUCGAUCAAUAUGAUGUGAUGCAAUGUGUAUGACCAUCUUUUGAUGGGUUAGGUUAUUUGCCGACGUCAGAAACACGCGGUGGUGUGUUGUUGGCAUGGGAUUCCACGGUGAUGGAUGUGGACUGCUUGGUGUUGGACACUCAUAGCAUCACCGGCCGUGUUCACACGAGGGAUGGUAACUCUUGGUGGAUCACCGGAGUUUAUGGGCCGCAAGGAGAUGACGAGAAGCUCGCAUUCCUCAUAGAGGUAAGUGAUGGGGUUAUGUACCUAGGGUAG